This 253-nucleotide ribosomal RNA is filed under the name uncultured bacterium. Its description in RNAcentral is "partial 16S ribosomal RNA". It matches the Rfam family "Bacterial small subunit ribosomal RNA", at positions 524 to 776 of the family's 1533-position model. The record is from RNAcentral.
UACGGGGGGGGCAAGCGUUGUUCGGAAUUACUGGGCGUAAAGGGCUCGUAGGCGGCCAACUAAGUCGGACGUGAAAUCCCCAGGCUCAACCUGGGAACUGCGUCCGAUACUGGAUGGCUUGAAUCCGGGAGAGGGAUGCAGAAUUCCAGGUGUAGCGGUGAAAUGCGUAGAUAUCAGGAAGAACACCCGUGGCGAAGGCGGCUCUCUGGUACGUGACUGACGCUGAGACGCGAAAGCGUGGGGAGCGAACAGG